Long non-coding RNA from Leguminivora glycinivorella, 1222 nucleotides. RefSeq lists it as uncharacterized. The record is from RefSeq and is a predicted model, not a curated record. The transcript is spliced from 2 exons. NCBI's taxonomy places the organism in Eukaryota, Metazoa, Arthropoda, Insecta, Lepidoptera, Tortricidae.
UUGCACAUUUUAGCUUAACAAUUUAACAACGGCAGUUUUAAAUUUGUCCCGAACGUAAUUACUUUUUGCGCAUAGCAAAGCCUUUAUGUGAUCUAGCAACUGGAUCGAUACUGGAUGACAGUUCGAUUAUCCAAUCAGAAUCAGCUGUCAACAAAGGGUGUUGCCAGAAUACAAAUAUGCACAAUUUUCAGAAUAUUUAAUUAUUUAGAAUUAACAAUUUAAAUGUAAUUAAUAAAUCAGAAAAUAGUCACUUUAUUGUUGGAAAAUUAUAUGGAAUUUUGUGCACUAGGAUUUUCAGUUGGUUGAAAUUUAUUUCUGCAGAGGACUGCUGAGGUGGUCAUUUUAGAUGUUAUCCCCAAGCCUCUCAAGGUCGUUAGGGCUCCUGAGAUCAUUUCCUGCACUUGCUAGCUGUCUCCGGUCCUGUUCAGGCCUCCAGUGCCUGCUUUUAUUUAUCGAGUUUCAUCUUCGAUCCAAAAAGUGAUCAGAUUGAUGGAGUGCUGGCGGUCAAUCCUUGUGUAGCCUAAGGGCAUUCUGGAGGAAUAUUUUCCCACCAUGAAUAUCUUCUGGUGGACUAUGUGGAGGGAAGGGUCGUCAGAGCUGAGAAAAUGAGCUCUCUCAAGUUCCAGCUGCUGACUGGGAAUUAAAACUAUAUUUACAAUUACAAUUACAACUAAAUCUGUGUUUAGGCCUACUCCAGGUUAUACUGGUUAUACAGACAUUCAAGUAAUGUCUUCUUUAUAAAGGGGGGCCGGUUUGUCCGGCAACUCCAAUUUUACCACAAGCGUCGAAUGGUGCGAUAGCUUGCUUCCGGGGUCGAGCCUAUCCAGGCGAAGAAGAUGCUCUCAACUUGCUGAUGCGUCGGUUGCGGUGGUGCUUCAUUGUGUCACAGCGCCUGGGGCGACCAGCUUCAGCUCGCAGAAGGAGGGCUUACACAUUGUAUUAGCGGUAACUUCUGGCUUGAAGGUUGGUGUCAUUUUCUUUCUUCCUGGAAGGCAAGAUUACUUAGUUUAGUUAAGAAGAAUUCCUAUUAUCUAUGUUGGCACUGAUAACUAGGGACUAACAGAACUUAGGAACGCUUGUAAAUCAUUUAGAAUUGAACUAUUGCACGGCCCAGCUCUACCGUCUGGCAAUACAUAUUAAGGUGCUAGCUUAAGCUUAGAAUAAUGAUUUACUGGCUAUAACUUGCUUUGUGUCCGUUAGACAAUAAAAUAGUGUGUCACAA